This 468-nucleotide ribosomal RNA is filed under the name uncultured bacterium. RNAcentral's name for it is "partial 16S ribosomal RNA". It matches the Rfam family "Bacterial small subunit ribosomal RNA", at positions 28 to 507 of the family's 1533-position model. The record is from RNAcentral.
GAUGAACGCUGGCGGCGUGCUUAACACAUGCAAGUCGAACGGUGAAGGCGGAGCUUGCUCUGCUGGAUCAGUGGCGAACGGGUGAGUAACACGUGAGCAAUCUGCCCCUGACUCUGGGAUAAGCGCUGGAAACGGCGUCUAAUACUGGAUACGAGCUGCGAAGGCAUCUUCAGCAGCUGGAAAGAACUUCGGUCAGGGAUGAGCUCGCGGCGUAUCAGCUUGUUGGUGAGGUAACGGCUCACCAAGGCGUCGACGGGUAGCCGGCCUGAGAGGGUGACCGGCCACACUGGGACUGAGACACGGCCCAGACUCCUACGGGAGGCAGCAGUGGGGAAUAUUGCACAAUGGGCGAAAGCCUGAUGCAGCAACGCCGCGUGAGGGACGACGGCCUUCGGGUUGUAAACCUCUUUUAGCAGGGAAGAAGCGAAAGUGACGGUACCUGCAGAAAAAGCGCCGGCUAACUACGUG